AAUCAACGCUGGCGGCGUGCCUCAGACAUGCAAGUCGAACGCGAAAGGCCCCUUCGGGGGCCCGGUAGAGUGGCGCACGGGUGAGUAACACGUAGGUAAUUUGCCUUCGGGUGGGGAAUAACAGCCGGAAACGGCUGCUAAUACCGCAUAAUGCAGCGGCUCGACAUCGAGACAGUUGUUAAAGCGGGGGGAUCGCAAGACCUCGCGCCUGAAGAGAAGCCUGCGGCAGAUAGCUUGUUGGUGAGGUAAUGGCUCACCAAGGCGACGAUCUGUAACCGGCCUGAGAGGGCGGUCGGUCACACUGACACUGACAUACGGGUCAGACUCCUACGGGAGGCAGCAGUCGGGAAUUUUGGGCAAUGGGCGAAAGCCUGACCCAGCAACGCCGCCGCGAAGGAUGAAAUCUCUCGGGAUGUAAACUUCGCAAGAACGGGAAGAAUAAGUUUGGG
RNAcentral lists this ribosomal RNA (449 nucleotides) under uncultured bacterium. RNAcentral's name for it is "bacterial SSU rRNA". It matches the Rfam family "Bacterial small subunit ribosomal RNA", at positions 32 to 459 of the family's 1533-position model. The record is from RNAcentral.